Molecule: long non-coding RNA, 662 nt
Filed under: Homo sapiens (human)
Lineage: Eukaryota; Metazoa; Chordata; Mammalia; Primates; Hominidae
Description: HSALNT0371669
Source: RNAcentral
GCGGACGGGCAGCCGGUUGGGCUGGGCCCGGAAGGGUGUGCAGUAGAGCAAGAGGAGGAAGUGGAGGGAAAGGAACCAGAUGCUUCUGAGACAGGCUACCAUCUCUGCGUGCAGUCCCCGCGGAAUUUACGCACUUUCGUCUUGUGCUCUUAGAUGUUCUCCAGGUAGACUGCAACCAACACCUUUAGAAUAAACCCACCUGUGCUUGGGCCAGCCUGAGAGGUCUUCAUUCCUUGCUGUCCAGAAAACCUUCAAAGGCUGCAGCAUAACCAGCUUCUAACAUUGUCCACUGGAGCAGAGACUUUGGGAGCCGAGGUGAAGAUGGCGCAACUACCAGAGGGAGAGCUGGAUUCUAGAGUCCCCACUUGCUUGCCUGGAAGGAGAUCUGCUCAGAACUGCCAGGAUGUCAGAACACGGCUCUGUACGAGCUCCUGAGAUCCAGGGCUGUAGUUGUGAGAAUUUGUCCUAAUGCCUCUGGUCUUUGCCUGUGCUUCAGCUUAUUUGGGGGAACAAAACCAAUCUGAUUGCUCUCAACAUCCAGUUGUCACUGAUUGGGUUCAAGGAAAUUAUUUUAUCUUCAGAAAACAUUUUGUUAUUUGAAGCAGCUAUAUAAGGGCUUCCCUGGAGGAUCCAGUCUCAGCUGGUUGCUCCUCACAUGUGAU